Molecule: long non-coding RNA, 658 nt
Filed under: Phoenix dactylifera (date palm)
Lineage: Eukaryota; Viridiplantae; Streptophyta; Magnoliopsida; Arecales; Arecaceae
Description: long non-coding RNA (PDAC_LNC011486)
Source: RNAcentral
GAAAUGGGCGACUGGACGCGAUGCUUCGAUCACGCUUGCAGUCGGACGCUGGGAUUUCGGGAGGAGAAACGGAUGCUGGAUGGAGCCGAUCACGGGAUGCUUGUAGACGCGGAUGAGGCGUUGGGAGAUCGCUGGGUCGUUGCGGCUUGCUGAUUUGGGAAGGAGCUGGGACGCGGAAGAAUGGCUGGAUCUCUUCUUUGGCCCACGGACGGAUGCGGGAUCCGUGAUGAACGCAGACGAGCGGAAGAAAUGGAUCACGGGCUAGAGUGAAAAGAUGGACGGCUGCGAUGGUACACAUCAUGCGGCUUGAUAGGGAACGUUGGGAACGUUGAUCACGAAAGAGGGCGUGGGAGCUGAUCUGGAAUGGAGCUGGGGUCUCCCGUGGUCGAUGGGAGGAACGCACGGACCGGCUGGACUAGGAUGCUUGGGCUCACGCGUGAUUCCACGGGUGAGAAACGUGGAGGCUGCAAUGAAAGGAUGUGGAGAGUUGGUGGAACUCCACUGUUAGCUCCCCUACUCUAUCUCUUCAAAUCGGGCUCAGUUCUGUGAUCCUUGGAUGACUUGCACACAAAUACAACGUUAAUUAGUAAAUUUUAUUAUUAAUGAUUAGCUAAAAUACUAAUUAAGAUGGUAUGAUGAUUGCACUUUUGUGCUCUCA